RNAcentral lists this ribosomal RNA (874 nucleotides) under Berkeleyomyces basicola. RNAcentral describes it as "partial large subunit ribosomal RNA". It matches the Rfam family "Eukaryotic large subunit ribosomal RNA", at positions 48 to 952 of the family's 3401-position model. Lineage: Eukaryota; Fungi; Ascomycota; Sordariomycetes; Microascales; Ceratocystidaceae. The record is from RNAcentral.
AAGCGGAGGAAAAGAAACCAACAGGGAUUGCCCUAGUAACGGCGAGCGAAGCGGCAACAGCUCAAAUUUGAAAUCUGGCUAUUUUGUAGUCCGAGUUGUAAUUUGUAGAGGAUGCUUUUGGUGAGGUGCCUUCCGAGUUCCCUGGAACGGGACGCCAGAGAGGGUGAGAGCCCCGUACGGUUGGAUACCAAACCUUUGUAUAGCUCCUUCGACGAGUCGAGUAGUUUGGGAAUGCUGCUCUAAAUGGGAGGUAUAUCUCUUCUAAAGCUAAAUAUAGGCUAGAGACCGAUAGCGCACAAGUAGAGUGAUCGAAAGAUGAAAAGCACUUUGAAAAGAGAGUUAAACAGCACGUGAAAUUGUUGAAAGGGAAGCGCCUAUGACCAGACUUGUUUCUUUCAGUUUUGUUAGUUUUCGGACUGAUUUACUCUGUUAGUACAGGCCAGCAUCAGUUUGUUGUCAGGGAGAAAGGCUUAGGGAAUGUGGCUCUUUCGGGAGUGUUAUAGCCCUUUGCAUAAUACCUUUCGGCAGACUGAGGACCGCGCUUCGGCAAGGAUGCUGGCGUAAUGGUCAUCAGCGACCCGUCUUGAAACACGGACCAAGGAGUCAACCUUAUGUGCGAGUGUUUGGGUGUAAAACCCCAGCGCGUAAUGAACGUGAACGUAGGUGAGAGCUUCGGCGCAUCAUCGACCGAUUCUGAUGUUCUCGGAUGGAUUUGAGUAAGAGCACACAGGGUUGGACCCGAAAGAAGGUGAACUAUGCUUGUAUAGGGUGAAGCCAGAGGAAACUCUGGUGGAGGCUCGCAGCGGUUCUGACGUGCAAAUCGAUCGUCAAAUAUGAGCAUGGGGGCGAAAGACUAAUCGACCUUCUAGUAGCU